CGCAGCCGCCCGCACGACCCUUCCUGUCAAUCCCAUCUCCACUCCAGCGCGCCGCCACCUCUGUCCCCACCCCGCCGGCGCGCCGCCAGCCCGCCUCCCGUCACCGCACGCCGCUGCCCCUCCCUCGCCGCGCGCUGCCGGAGUGCCUACCCCUGCCCCAAGUUACCCCAGCAACAGCCGCCACCGCCAGCAGCAGCAGCAGCAGCCGGAGAUCCCAUCUUGGGGCCGGCGCUGGUCGAGGAAGGCCCGAGUGGCGCCGCCGGCCGAGAAGCCCGCGCCAGAUGACGAUAGGAGCGAGGGCGUCGCCAGCCCGGACACCCCCGAGGACGACGAGCACGACGAGGCAGUAGCGACGGAGGACGAGGCCAAAGCCAGCGCGCAGGACAAGUGGGCGCAGGAGCAGCGCGGCGUGGUUGCGAGCUUGUCCCACGAGAACGCCCAUCUCCUAAAGGCAAUCUUCUUGACAAAGCUGAGGAUAGUGAAUGGCGGGGAUGAUGGUGCUGGAGAGCCGCCCCCUAUUGGCGUGAAAGCGCACGCUGGACUGUGGGACCUUAGCCAUGCCGAGUUCAACAAUAGAGUUCGGGUAAUUCAUAGAGAGGAGGAGCAUGGAGAAGGCUGCUAGAGCCUGAUAUAUUCGUUGUGACUUGGGCCUGACCAUUUGGAGAGGUAUAUGUUGAACUGGUGAGGUACAGAUUUCCAUCUGUCAUCUUUUCGUCAGCAUUUUAUUUAUCUUGUGGUUUCUGCAGUCACACAAAAAUUUGGGUACAAUUGAAAUAUAGGAUUAUAUGUAUAAUACUAUUGAAAUUAGAAGAGAUGCAUAUGAAUGUAUUAGAAGCUAGAGUAGGUGCAACAACCAAAACAAACAAGGCGAACUACACCCAGCUCUCACAGCCACAUAGCUAGCACAAGACCUUAAAGCAAAGUGCCACCAUGAUUCAUACAUGUUCCAGGAGAAACUAGAAUAUGAGCUACAAAUGUAGUGCAUCAGCAACAUUGUCUGUUACUCUGCUUCAUGUACAGUGCCAUUGCACAUUCAGUUAGGUACAUGCAGGACCUUGCAACAUUCAGUCAAGCUAACAGUCGAGCUUUCAGGCUCGCGUAAUCGGGCCGGCCCAUAACCAGGAAACGAGCACGUAAAAAUGGCACGAAAAACAAAACCGCACGCGAUGGGUUCGAUCUCGCGAACUCAAGCUAGGUAGCAGCGACGCCAACCACAUGAGCUAGCUGCCGACUACUCAAAUUGCAGCGCCCCAGUUAAAGUAGUUUAGCGACAGGUCUGUUUAUUUUUCUUAAAUAUUUUCAAAAAUUCUUGGAAACAAGUGUGGAUGAUUUUCCUUCAAAUAUUUGAAUACAUUUUUAAAAUCAUGAAUAAAUAUCAAAAAUUCAAACAAAAUUUUGCAACCUUAACAAAUUUUGAAAUUCCAAAUGUUUAUUUUAAGAUUGCCAUGGGCGGUCCUCACUUGUAGCUCGAUGAGAUUAGUUUUUUCUAUGUUUUAUAUGAACAUUCCCUUGCAUGGGUGUGGUUCGGGCAGUAUCGUGGAUGAGCUCGUCUCGACCAUGUCAGGAUACAUGGAUGAUCAGGUGGUGAACGGCCGACUUGGGUUCGGGUGUCAUGUCAAAAUAGAAGGCACAUCCAUGUGCAUGUAUGUGUGUGAGAGAGAAGAGGGGUCUUUAGACAUCACAGAAGCCGGACAUGCGAUAUUUUUCUUCUCCCGUUGCAACGCACGGGCAUUUUUGCUAGUAAUAAUAAAUCACGCAUUGAGUCUCCAGGUUCACCGUCAUGGCAUUUUUAUAAAAAAGAUCCUACUGUUUUGUGCAAUUAACCCGCACUCCAGUCUUUCGUAUCAUACACAGUAAUAAAUAAAAAAGGAAUCGUAAUCGCUGUUUCACAAGACCCGGACGGACGCAACGCCCCCGUCGUCCCCAACCCAUCGGGAGGACAAGGAUGUCGAACUCAGGCUGCGGCGCUGGUCCGGGUCUCCGGCUCUCCAUGGGGAUCGGACCGUCCUCCGGCGAUCUCAGCUUCCUCUUCCCCAACACCUCCGCUGCCUGAUAGAAAACAGAGGUGAUGAUCUCCGCCGCCGGCCUCCAGAUCCCCGGCGACUGCAAGGUGGUCGACGCGCGCCCACUCCUGGUGGCCCUCCUCUUCGCCGCCGUCCGCGCCUCGCCCGCCUAGGAACUCCUCCGCCUCUUUGCCGCCGCGCCCAUGAAGCUGAUCCAGGCUAAGUCCUGGACGCUGGAUGCAGAGUCUCCCAUUCAAGGAGAAGAGGCAGGAGCUGCUCUCUGGUGCCGAUGGAGGGGGGAAGGAGGAGCCAGCAAUGGCACCAUCAGGUGCUGAUGCUCUCCGGUGCCGAUGGAGGGCGGCAUCAACAACAUGAGGUGGUAUUCAAGAGGUAGAGGGAGGACACGGUUGUACUGGGUGAGGGGGCUUUGCCGAGGAUUGGUGGAUGGAUACUUCUCUGUGCCGUUGGCAGUGCGGGAGGGGAUGGCCAGGAAGUGGGCUACCAAUGGCGUGCUCUUGCAGGUGAUUCUGAAUUUCAGAUACUUUUUGUCGAAGAUGUCUGACAUCUUCAUAUUGAAUCAUUGCAUAUGUAGACAUAACAAAUCAAUUGGGCAUUAAUAUUGUAUCACUUCCGCUGGAAAUAUUUCCAAGUUUACUCAUAUGUAAUUGGUAAAUGAUAAUGUUGCUGCACUCCGUGGUAUUGUUUUUAUGUGACAAUGGAACAUUUUAGUUUUAGUCAGUAUGAUGGGGCCCUCUAGGCGGGAUGGCAUGGACCCAACAGCAAGGAUAUCGAUCAUGAUGGAUUCAACCAUUCUGCUCGACAUUGGAUGCCAUAAUAUGCUUAUGAUGUUGGUUAACUGAGGUACUCUAGCCCCAACCAAGCUAUGGCUCAUCCAACCUCUGGUCAGGUUCACUAUUAUUCAAUCUUAGUGCUGCAUAUUUCUAUUUGGAUGAUACUAUAUCUUAUUCCUGAGUUGUUAUUUGUAACGUGAUGAUGAUUGUUAAGAAUUGAUGCCAUUCUUUCUCCUGCCCCUUCUCUUUGUAGAUUUAACUACUCAAGGAGGUUUGAGGAAGAGCUCGCUGGGCGAAUUCUUCGGUGGGCUCAGCCGGCGCAUGACACGGACACUCGGACAAGGUCGAGCCAGCGGCUAGGCUUAGCCAUAAGGAGUACUGUGGAGGUCAUGGGCGGCAAGGGAAGUAAGUGGCAACAUGAAUGGGGCGCCAUGUUGCAAUGAAGGGCGUGGGCUUAUGGGGUUUUGACUCUUUGAGUCAUGCUUACUGGGCUAAGGGCACCCGAUAUUUUCUUGAUUCUGUUCCAGCACCAGUUUACCACGGUAAAGACAAUCCACAACCUUAUGAUCAGAAGACUGGAUGGUUAUUGUAAAUUAUCAUCCUCUUUUGAAGUGGGUGAGAGGCAUGGUAGUUAUUUUGUAUUGCACCUCAAAACAGGUAAACAUCACUUCUCCUUUGUGGACCUGUGCAUUGUGCUCAUCGAUAAGUUUUGUCCCGAAUUUUUUUCUCAUUUGAGUUUUGCCACAUUUGGUAUUGUUCGAUAUGCUAUUUAAUAUAUAGUGUGUGCUCCCACCUCAGUUGAUCAAUUGUUUUUCACUUAGCAGCGGGUGCUGAUGAACCAACUAUGCCAGUAAUGUCCUUAAUUUUAGAGAAGAUGCAAAACCAAGAACAUGCAUGAGCUUGCAUACUUGCUGGUAGCCGGGAGAAUUUUCAGUGACCAAUGGAAGCUUUGAUGUAUUCUUUUCAAGCAAAAUAAAUCGUCUACUACCCAUGUCAGGUUUCAGCUCAAAUUGUGGUGAUUCUAUUCUAUGCAAUUUAAUUUUCUUGCUAAUGCUACGUUUUAGCAAUCCUUA
Molecule: long non-coding RNA, 3867 nt
Organism: Triticum aestivum (bread wheat)
Lineage: Eukaryota; Viridiplantae; Streptophyta; Magnoliopsida; Poales; Poaceae
Exons: 4
Source: RefSeq, a predicted model, not a curated record